AUUGUUUUGGCAGAUAAGUGUAUUGGAUUUAGGUUCCUUUUAUGUAGAUUAUUUUCUACAAAUAAUA
This 67-nucleotide transfer RNA is filed under the name Cryptocercus meridianus. Its description in RNAcentral is "tRNA-Leu". Lineage: Eukaryota; Metazoa; Arthropoda; Insecta; Blattodea; Cryptocercidae. The record is from RNAcentral.